Molecule: small nucleolar RNA, 139 nt
Organism: Astyanax mexicanus (Mexican tetra)
Lineage: Eukaryota; Metazoa; Chordata; Actinopteri; Characiformes; Acestrorhamphidae
Source: Ensembl
UCAGCCCUGAAUCAAGGCCAGCAGCUUGUUGUAGCUGUUGGUUUCAAACAGCGGCUAAAAUCAGAACUCUUCAAAUUGUUGGUUGACUUUUCCAGCAUUUCAUAAUGAGGAAAAGUCUUUUCAGUUUGAAGAAACAUUU